GUGAUGAUCAGCGCCCUGUGCGGAAUGAAUGGUCUAAAAGAGAUUAUAUAUUUUAAUCUAUAGUUAUUGAAAAGGUAAAACAAAAAGUGGCAUAUAAUACUUGGUAUAGAUUAGCAGAAGUAAUGUUUGAUAUAAUGAUUAAUGCAAAGAAAACCAAUUUGGGAUUGGAAGUUUACUCGAUUUUUUUCAGUUAAAAAAAGUUUACUGGAGUAUCUGGAUAACGAUAAUCUUAUUAUGGUCGAGAAACAGUAAUUGUCCUAUUAUCAAAGUUGUAUCGUUAUAUUUUAUUAAAAUUAUACUGGUUCCGGAGUACAUAAAAAUUAUAAAAGAAUAAAAAAAAAUUGAAGUAAAUAAUAUUACGUUGGAAAAAAAAAUAAUAAUAUGAGUUUACAAAUUUAGUGGGGUGAUUAGGACUCGAAUUUGUAAAAGAGACCCAUUAUUGAACCUUAAUAUUGAUUGUGACUCAAAAUACAUACGAGUCUCUUUUAAUUUAUCUUUUAUUUAAAAAGGUGUUUUUACUAAAAAAAUUCUAGGGGACACGAGAUAAGAGGCUACAGUUAAGCCUCUCCACCCGAUCUCUCUUCUCAUCACCUGAGAAAUAAACAUAUUUCGUUAACUAAGCUCAAUCCCAAUAUAUAAGAAGAUUAAAAGCUGAAUCGAGUGACUCAAGUCUCAGGGAAUUUGAACCGAUGGAUUGUAAGUCGGCAAAGGCCCUAUCAACAAACCUCCUGAAUAUUUGUUGAUUUCUAGAUGCAUCGAGGACACAUCGCGAGUGGUAUAUCUUAGUGAAAAGAAAGGGCUGGAAAAGACUCCUGCAAUUAAAACCGGAGAAGUGUGUACUGACUAUCACUCCUGUCAACAUAUCCCUUGAAGUUUGUUUAAUUCGUUGACGCAGCGGUUACAUGUUUCCAUUUACAUGAAGUCGCAAGAGGUGUAUCACAUUCAUCGUGGAGAGUCAGAUAUGAUGCUGAAGAAGAUUCUUAGUUCACUUAAUUUACUCAACAGAGAAGGAUACUUAAACGACGAUAUUACUCGGGUAUUUUGGUGGGGACUCUUGGUGUUGCUGGUUACCUUCACAUGAUUCACCAUAUGCAAGCACUCAUAUCCGCUGCUGGAAAAAAAUCUUACAUUCUUGCCAUGGGAAACUUCCAUGAGGAAAAGUCCAUUUUCUCUCCUCUUCAAAUCCACAAAUCCAAUGUUGGCAUGCAACGUUUCCAUUUGAGACAGAGGAGGCGAAAUAUACACACCUGCAUCCAACAAAAACAGAACCAAAGAGGUAAGAGUACAAAAGGCAAGCUCGGCUUAAUUAAACCAGAACGAAGCAUUAUUAGGCCCUACAAUCAAGCAAAUGAAAUUACAAAGAAAAUGAAGGAGCGUUCUCUGCAACAAACGUGACACAAGAGCAGAAUCGUGCCUAAUCUGGAAAUCAGUGCAGUUACAUGUUUGAAGAAAUCCCAUCCCAAGGCUAACAUAAUGAUAUGAUGCAGUUUUCAAAAUUUGUGGAAUGACAAAAAAACUAACAUUUACCAGGGAGAAGGAGUGUCAACAACUUAUUUUUUGGGUCUAAAUGUUAAGAGAAUGUCAACAACUUCGACGAAGCAAAUUAGGUGUUUACAAAUCCGUUUGUUUCUAAUGGAGCAUAUUGGUAUACAAAAAUGCAAGUUUAUUCUAGAAAAACGGUCCAAAUGUGUUUAUUUCAUUGUUUUAAUUUUCAGUAGAUCAAAUCUAAGGAACAUUUAGUUUUAGAGAUCAAUCAAUAGUUGCUCAAAAAAAAAAAGAGAUUAUUCAAUUAAAAAAGUAAAAAUAAAACUAAACUUGUCAAAUAUACUUAUACUAUAUUUUGUGUGUUCUUAUAUGUAUAUUAUUUUAUAUUACGAAACUGCUUCUAUACAUGCAUCUCUUCUUUUGGAAUAAAAUCUUAAUAGUUGUUUUAACAUUUUCAAGUAUUUUGUUUUAAAGGAGCCACUUUUAAUUUUAGUUGUGAUAUUAUUUAGCUAUAGAAAAUGCGACUAAAACAAUAUCUAAUUUCGUUAAAUUUUAAGAAAAAUGAUAAUUUAAAUGCAAGUCAAUAUUGAUCCGUGCGUAGCACGGGGUGAUAUACUAGUACUCCCUAAAUUGGUGAACUAACCACUAUAAAAUCGUUAUUCUCUAG
Brassica napus (rape) is the source of this 2152-nucleotide long non-coding RNA. RefSeq lists it as uncharacterized. The record is from RefSeq and is a predicted model, not a curated record. The transcript is spliced from 9 exons. NCBI's taxonomy places the organism in Eukaryota, Viridiplantae, Streptophyta, Magnoliopsida, Brassicales, Brassicaceae.